Molecule: ribosomal RNA, 1476 nt
Filed under: Limosilactobacillus reuteri
Lineage: Bacteria; Bacillati; Bacillota; Bacilli; Lactobacillales; Lactobacillaceae
Description: Lactobacillus reuteri partial 16S ribosomal RNA
Rfam family: Bacterial small subunit ribosomal RNA
Source: RNAcentral
CGUACGCACUGGCCCAACUGAUUGAUGGUGCUUGCACCUGAUUGACGAUGGAUCACCAGUGAGUGGCGGACGGGUGAGUAACACGUAGGUAACCUGCCCCGGAGCGGGGGAUAACAUUUGGAAACAGAUGCUAAUACCGCAUAACAACAAAAGCCACAUGGCUUUUGUUUAAAAGAUGGCUUUGGCUAUCACUCUGGGAUGGACCUGCGGUGCAUUAGCUAGUUGGUAAGGUAACGGCUUACCAAGGCGAUGAUGCAUAGCCGAGUUGAGAGACUGAUCGGCCACAAUGGAACUGAGACACGGUCCAUACUCCUACGGGAGGCAGCAGUAGGGAAUCUUCCACAAUGGGCGCAAGCCUGAUGGAGCAACACCGCGUGAGUGAAGAAGGGUUUCGGCUUGUAAAGCUCUGUUGUUGGAAAAGAAUGUGCGUGAGAGUAACUGUUCACGCAGUGACGGUAUCCAACCAGAAAGUCACGGCUAACUACGUGCCAGCAGCCGCGGUAAUACGUAGGUGGCAAGCGUUAUCCGGAUUUAUUGGGCGUAAAGCGAGCGCAGGCGGUUGCUUAGGUCUGAUGUGAAAGCCUUCGGCUUAACCGAAGAAGUGCAUCGGAAACCGGGCGACUUGAGUGCAGAAGAGGACAGUGGAACUCCAUGUGUAGCGGUGGAAUGCGUAGAUAUAUGGAAGAACACCAGUGGCGAAAGCGGCUGUCUGGUCUGCAACUGACGCUGAGCUCGAAAGCAUGGGUAGCGAACAGGAUUAGAUACCCUGGUAGUCCAUGCCGUAAACGAUGAGUGCUAGGGGUUGGAAGGGUUUCCGCCCUUCAGUGCCGGAACUAACGCAUUAAGCACUCCGCCCUGGGGAGUACGACCGCAAGGUUGAAACUCAAAGGAAUUGACGGGGGCCCGCACAAGCGGUGGAGCAUGUGGUUUAAUUCGAAGCUACGCGAAGAACCUUACCAGGUCUUGACAUCUUGCGCUAACCUUAGAGAUAAGGCGUUCCCUUCGGGGACGCAAUGACAGGUGGUGCAUGGUCGUCGUCAGCUCGUGUCGUGAGAUGUUGGGUUAAGUCCCGCAACGAGCGCAACCCUUGUUACUAGUUGCCAGCAUUAAGUUGGGCACUCUAGUGAGACUGCCGGUGACAAACCGGAGGAAGGUGGGGACGACGUCAGAUCAUCAUGCCCCUUAUGACCUGGGCUACACACGUGCUACAAUGGACGGUACAACGAGUCGCAAGCUCGCGAGAGUAAGCUAAUCUCUUAAAGCCGUUCUCAGUUCGGACUGUAGGCUGCAACUCGCCUACACGAAGUCGGAAUCGCUAGUAAUCGCGGAUCAGCAUGCCGCGGUGAAUACGUUCCCGGGCCUUGUACACACCGCCCGUCACACCAUGGGAGUUUGUAACGCCCAAAGUCGGUGGCCUAACCUUUAUGGAGGGAGCCGCCUAAGGCGGGGCAGAUGACUGGGGUGAAGUCGUAACAA